GGGGAAUGAGAUUGGACUGCAGCUACCGGCUUAAUGAGGAUCUCCGAGGCUGAGCAACAGAUAACGCAGAAUUUCCUGUUCUUGUCAUGGCUGAGGGGAGGACGGGAGCCGGGGCACGGAGGUCCUCCCCAGCGCCAGGCCUGCGUGCCCUAGUGCCUUGGGGCCCACCGUCAGACUCCUCAGGAUGGGAGAGACGUGUUUCUUGCCUGUCCUACGCACACAGCUGCCUUCUCCAUGGAGGAUUUCCAAGGUACCAGCCUCUGAAACGCUGCAGGCUGCUGCACCAGGCAGACGUCCAUCACCUUGAGCCCACAGAGGGAGGUUAAGGGGGACUUAUUCCGUUUGACCAACUCCGCCAUGUCCUCAGGCCUCCUGAUGGCUUAAAGGAGACUCUUCUCCACUAGGGAUGGUGCCUGUGCGGAAACACACGGAGUCCGUUGAAGUGCCUGAAG
Chroicocephalus ridibundus (black-headed gull) is the source of this 452-nucleotide long non-coding RNA. RefSeq lists it as uncharacterized. The transcript is spliced from 3 exons. The record is from RefSeq and is a predicted model, not a curated record. NCBI's taxonomy places the organism in Eukaryota, Metazoa, Chordata, Aves, Charadriiformes, Laridae.